RNAcentral lists this ribosomal RNA (498 nucleotides) under uncultured bacterium. RNAcentral describes it as "partial 16S ribosomal RNA". It matches the Rfam family "Bacterial small subunit ribosomal RNA", at positions 28 to 507 of the family's 1533-position model. The record is from RNAcentral.
GAUGAACGCUGGCGGCGUGCCUAAUACAUGCAAGUCGAGCGAACUUUUGGGAGCUUGCUCCCAAAAGUUAGCGGCGGACGGGUGAGUAACACGUGGGUAACCUGCCUGUAAGACUGGGAUAACUUCGGGAAACCGGAGCUAAUACCGGAUAACAUUGAAGGCCACAUGGCCUUCAAUUAAAAGGUGGCUUUUAGCUACCACUUACAGAUGGACCCGCGGCGCAUUAGCUAGUUGGUGAGGUAACGGCUCACCAAGGCGACGAUGCGUAGCCGACCUGAGAGGGCGAUCGGCCACACUGGGACUGAGACACGGCCCAGACUCCUACGGGAGGCAGCAGUAGGGAAUCUUCCGCAAUGGACGAAAGUCUGACGGAGCAACGCCGCGUGAGCGAAGAAGGCCUUCGGGUCGUAAAGCUCUGUUGUUAGGGAAGAACAAGUAUCGUUCGAAUAGGGCGGUACCUUGACGGUACCUAACCAGAAAGCCACGGCUAACUACGUG